Molecule: long non-coding RNA, 912 nt
Filed under: Musa acuminata (dwarf banana)
Lineage: Eukaryota; Viridiplantae; Streptophyta; Magnoliopsida; Zingiberales; Musaceae
Description: long non-coding RNA (MACU_LNC007435)
Source: RNAcentral
GUAGAGUUUCUUGGGGAUGCUAUUAGGUCACAGAUUCAUAGGUAAGGGAUGCAGUUAGGUUACCCUCAUUUUAUACCUACCCCAUGUGCUCGAUAAGAGAGAUAUUCCAUUCAACAAGUUUCUAGUUCAAGUUCCGCUCGAAAGUAAUCUGCAAGUGGUUCCUCAAGUGGAGAAGAACAAUCAAUUACUGGAUCUUAAGCGAGAAGGUCAGUUUCAAGUCGUUAUAAAUCCUACUCUGGAGCAAUGAUGUUUCUGUUGGAGUAAAGUCGUAGAUAUUAGAUGAAGAAGAGGCAUAAUCCGCAGGUCCAGGUUAAUAAAUUGAUGUUAGAGUUUCUCGUAAGGGAACAGAGUGGAUGGGUGCAGGUGCAUUCGUGUUAUUACAUUCUUCUAUUAUGGCCAUGUACUCUUGGUAACACCUAUGCUCUUGUUUCUUCGUAUAACACAGGGUAUCCUGAGUUCAGUUAAGUCUCCUUCUAUUCGACGAGUAUCUUUGGGUUUGGUGCUUUCCCACAAAUAGAAGUCAGUUAAGGGGUCAGCAGCAAGUUAUAAGUCAGCUACAAGACGUUGUGCGCCAACAGGAGUUUUUGACGGAAAGGGAGUGGAAAGAGAAACCCCAGUGUGAGGAAGAUCUAGGAGAGGUGGUAUAGGUGCGACUCAUAUUGAAUUCCACUCCUCCGGUCUAAUACUAAAACGAUUAUGACUCAUACUUAUACUACCUGUUAGGGCAAGAACUAUACUUUAUGAACGGACCUUCACUCAAGCUUGCUUCAAAGCCGAUACUUUCUUCUUUUCUUCCUCUAACUGCUAGCCUUUCCUUUCGAAAUACCUUUGUUUGUUCCCUAGCUUGUGUCGGUUAAGUAGGCAGUAGCUCCUUCUCGUAGCGUAGAGAUGGGUUCGGCGGUAGAGGGAAGC